RNAcentral lists this ribosomal RNA (498 nucleotides) under uncultured bacterium. RNAcentral's name for it is "partial 16S ribosomal RNA". It matches the Rfam family "Bacterial small subunit ribosomal RNA", at positions 30 to 523 of the family's 1533-position model. The record is from RNAcentral.
AUUGAACGCUGGCGGCAUGCCUUACACAUGCAAGUCGAACGGUAACAGGUCUUCGGAUGCUGACGAGUGGCGAACGGGUGAGUAACACAUCGGAACGUGCCUAGUAGUGGGGGAUAACUACUCGAAAGAGUGGCUAAUACCGCAUGAGAUCUACGGAUGAAAGCAGGGGAUCGCAAGACCUUGUGCUACUAGAGCGGCCGAUGGCAGAUUAGGUAGUUGGUGGGAUAAAAGCUUACCAAGCCGACGAUCUGUAGCUGGUCUGAGAGGACGAUCAGCCACACUGGGACUGAGACACGGCCCAGACUCCUACGGGAGGCAGCAGUGGGGAAUUUUGGACAAUGGGCGCAAGCCUGAUCCAGCAAUGCCGCGUGCAGGAUGAAGGCCUUCGGGUUGUAAACUGCUUUUGUACGGAACGAAAAGCCCUGGGUUAAUACCCUGGGGUCGUGACGGUACCGUAAGAAUAAGCACCGGCUAACUACGUGCCAGCAGCCGCCGUAA